GACGAACGCUGGCGGCGUGCUUAACACAUGCAAGUCGAACGGAAAGGCCCUGCUUUUGUGGGGUGCUCGAGUGGCGAACGGGUGAGUAACACGUGAGUAACCUGCCCUUGACUUUGGGAUAACUUCAGGAAACUGGGGCUAAUACCGGAUAGGAGCUCCUGCUGCAUGUUGGGGGUUGGAAAGUUUCGGCGGUUGGGGAUGGACUCGCGGCUUAUCAGCUUGUUGGUGGGGUAGUGGCUUACCAAGGCUUUGACGGGUAGCCGGCCUGAGAGGGUGACCGGCCACAUUGGGACUGAGAUACGGCACAGACUCCUACGGGAGGCAGAAGUGGGGAAUAUUGCACAAUGGGCGGAAGCCUGAUGCAGCAACGCCGCGUGCGGGAUGACGGCCUUCGGGUUGUAAACCGCUUUCGCCUGUGACGAAGCGUGAGUGACGGUAAUGGGUAAAGAAGCACCGGCUAACUACGUG
Molecule: ribosomal RNA, 468 nt
Filed under: uncultured bacterium
Lineage: Bacteria
Description: partial 16S ribosomal RNA
Rfam family: Bacterial small subunit ribosomal RNA
Source: RNAcentral